This 497-nucleotide ribosomal RNA is filed under the name uncultured bacterium. RNAcentral describes it as "partial 16S ribosomal RNA". It matches the Rfam family "Bacterial small subunit ribosomal RNA", at positions 28 to 507 of the family's 1533-position model. The record is from RNAcentral.
GACGAACGCUGGCGGCGUGCCUAAUACAUGCAAGAUGAGCGCUGAAGGUUGGUACUUGUACCAACUGGAUGAGCAGCGAACGGGUGAGUAACGCGUGGGGAAUCUGCCUUUGAGCGGGGGACAACAUUUGGAAACGAAUGCUAAUACCGCAUAAAAACUUUAAACACAAGUUUUAAGUUUGAAAGAUGCAAUUGCAUCACUCAAAGAUGAUCCCGCGUUGUAUUAGCUAGUUGGUGAGGUAAAGGCUCACCAAGGCGAUGAUACAUAGCCGACCUGAGAGGGUGAUCGGCCACAUUGGGACUGAGACACGGCCCAAACUCCUACGGGAGGCAGCAGUAGGGAAUCUUCGGCAAUGGACGAAAGUCUGACCGAGCAACGCCGCGUGAGUGAAGAAGGUUUUCGGAUCGUAAAACUCUGUUGGUAGAGAAGAACGUUGGUGAGAGUGGAAAGCUCAUCAAGUGACGGUAACUACCCAGAAAGGGACGGCUAACUACGUG